RNAcentral lists this vault RNA (94 nucleotides) under Erpetoichthys calabaricus (reedfish). RNAcentral's name for it is "Vault RNA (ENSECRG00000011565.1)". It matches the Rfam family "Vault RNA". Rfam says of the family: This family of RNAs are found as part of the enigmatic vault ribonucleoprotein complex. The record is from Rfam by way of RNAcentral. Lineage: Eukaryota; Metazoa; Chordata; Cladistia; Polypteriformes; Polypteridae.
GCGCCGGUUUAGCUCAGUGGUUACUUCACAUGGUUGCACCUGAGUUGGGGUUCUCGAAUUCCGUCUCCAACCACGGGCGCUGCCCGGCGUUUUA